GAAUCUGAUGGAGAGUGGCUUGGAAACGAAGGAUGAACAGGUUGUUCAGUGCUGCCUUUGGCUUGAAGGAAUUGAGAGACACCUGCUGAUUGGUAGUGGAGGAGUUGUGAUCAAGUGCGUUGCAGUGGUUGGAUCAAAUACCGAAUCAGGAUGCAGGUAUCUAUCAGAACUGCUGCUACACGCCGGGGCGGGCUCACAUCAAGAAUGCUUACUUGUAAUUGCAGCAAAAACAAGGAAAAACAAGGGAAAAAUAAUUAAUUAAUUUUGCAUGUCUGAUGGUUCACAAGUUCGAUCAUAUUGUCCAUAUGGAAUAUAUGCCUUGUAGUGAUACGAUAUUUCUUCAGAUGUAACACUGCACUUGUUCUGAAACUAUAUUAUUUGAGGGGGUGUUAUGUGGGUGAUUGCUUACCUUAA
Molecule: long non-coding RNA, 414 nt
Organism: Oryza sativa Japonica Group (Japanese rice)
Lineage: Eukaryota; Viridiplantae; Streptophyta; Magnoliopsida; Poales; Poaceae
Source: RefSeq, a predicted model, not a curated record